UUUACAAUUACCCGCGUAGUUAGGGUUUAGAAAGUAUCGAACAACAGUGAGUCUCUCCUCUCUUCUCCGUCAUCGUUGCUGGGAUUUUCAUCAUCGCAGUUGAUAUCGAAGUUUGUGGGGUAAGUUUCUUCACCUGUUCUUCAUAUUUUGUCUUUAUUGAUCUUCAUUUCUCUCAAUAUAUGGGGCUUUUGCUCUGUUUAUGAUUUUUAGGGGAAGGCUGGGUUAGGUCAUAAUCGUUGUUUAAUUUUCCUUAAUAUAUGGGGCUUUUGCUGUGUUUCGUUACAUGUUGGAGUGAAAACCCUUUUUAAUGUAGUGUAAUGCAUGUAAUGACAUAUUUAGUUAUUCCGUUUAGUUUUGGUUUUUUUUUUGUCAAAGCAGAAUUUCAUCUUAGGUUUAUGCAUUUUUUUGUGAAGUUUGUUGGGUCUCCUUCUUGUUAGUGGUCCACUAUAGUAUUUUUGAAUAUUAUAGGAUAUUGUGGGGACGAAAAAGGAAUCUUGGAAGCUUUUUUACUUAAAAAUCUGUCUUUUUUGUUGGUUUGUUUAUGGAGUUGUGUAAAGGUGUAACUUUUGAUAACAAAUAGUCAUUGAUAACACUGUUUUUUUUUUGUUACUUUGCAGGUAUGAGAAGAAAAUAGCUUCAAGCCUUGUUAACCUAUAAAUCCACCACAAUGAUAAUUUUGUAUCGGACCCUGACCUAAGGUAUGCAAAUGGACUACUUUGUCCUCAAUUAGCUACAGUUGAU
RNAcentral lists this long non-coding RNA (741 nucleotides) under Nicotiana tabacum (common tobacco). RNAcentral's name for it is "long non-coding RNA (NTAB_LNC005012)". Lineage: Eukaryota; Viridiplantae; Streptophyta; Magnoliopsida; Solanales; Solanaceae. The record is from RNAcentral.